This 501-nucleotide ribosomal RNA is filed under the name uncultured bacterium. RNAcentral's name for it is "partial 16S ribosomal RNA". It matches the Rfam family "Bacterial small subunit ribosomal RNA", at positions 28 to 523 of the family's 1533-position model. The record is from RNAcentral.
GAUGAACGCUAGCGGCAGGCUUAAUACAUGCAAGUCGAGGGGCAGCACAGAUAGCAAUAUUGGGUGGCGACCGGCAAACGGGUGCGGAACACGUACACAACGUUCCUUUUAGUGUGGGAUAGCCCAGAGAAAUUUGGAUUAAUACCACAUAGUAUAUUUGAGUGGCAUCACUUUGAUAUUAAAGAUUUAUCGCUAAAAGAUGGGUGUGUGUAUAAUUAGGUAGAUGGUAGAGGUAACGGCUCACCAAGCGUUCGAUCAUUAACUGGUGUGCGAGCACGACCAGCCCCACGGGCACUGGGACACGGGCCCGACUCCUACGGGAGGCAGCAGUAAGGAAUAUUGGUCAAUUGACGGAAGUGUGAACCAGCCAUGCCGCGUGAAGGAUGACGGCCCUCUGGGUUGUAAACUUCUUUUAUGUGGGACGAAAAAGGGCCAUUUUUGGUCAACUGACGGUACCAUAGGAAUAAGCACCGGCUAACUCCGUGCCAGCAGCCGCAGUAA